Long non-coding RNA from Labeo rohita (rohu), 352 nucleotides. RefSeq lists it as uncharacterized. The transcript has 4 exons. The record is from RefSeq and is a predicted model, not a curated record. Lineage: Eukaryota; Metazoa; Chordata; Actinopteri; Cypriniformes; Cyprinidae.
CUGUGAAAUACAGGUGAGAGUUGUAGAGUACAGGUAAGUCCUGUGAAAUACAGGUACAAAUUGUGGAGUACAGGUAAGUCCUGUGAAAUACAGGUAUGAGUUGUAGAGUACAGGUAAGUCCUGUGAAAUACAGGUAUGAGUUGUGGAGUACAGGUAAGUCCUGUGAAAUACAGGUACAAAUUGUGGAGUACAGGUAAGUCCUGUGAAAUACAGGUAUGAGUUGUAGAGUACAGGUAAGUCCUGUGAAAUACAGGUACAAAUUGUGGAGUACAGGUAAGUCCUGUGAAAUACAGGUAUGAGUUGUAGAGUACAGGUAAGUCCUGUGAAAUACAGGUAUGAGUUGUAGAGUACA